RNAcentral lists this ribosomal RNA (253 nucleotides) under uncultured prokaryote. RNAcentral's name for it is "partial 16S ribosomal RNA". It matches the Rfam family "Bacterial small subunit ribosomal RNA", at positions 524 to 776 of the family's 1533-position model. The record is from RNAcentral.
UACGUAGGGUGCGAGCGUUAAUCGGAAUUACUGGGCGUAAAGCGUGCGUAGGCGGCCUGUCACGUCCGCUGUGAAAUCCCGGGGCUCAACCCCGGGCCUGCAGUGGAUACGGGCUGGCUGGAGGCAGGCAGGGGAGAACGGAAUUCCUGGUGUAGCGGUGAAAUGCGCAGAUAUCAGGAGGAACACCGGUGGCGAAGGCGGUUCUCUGGGCCUGUACUGACGCUGAGGAGCGAAAGCGUGGGGAGCGAACAGG